GACGAACGCUGGCGGCGUGCCUAAUACAUGCAAGUAGGACGCACAGUUUAUACCGUAGCUUGCUACACCAUAGACUGUGAGUUGCGAACGGGUGAGUAACGCGUAGGUAACCUGCCUAUUAGAGGGGGAUAACUAUUGGAAACGAUAGCUAAUACCGCAUAACAGUAUGUAACACAUGUUAGAUGCUUGAAAGAUGCAAUUGCAUCGCUAGUAGAUGGACCUGCGUUGUAUUAGCUAGUAGGUAGGGUAAUGGCCUACCUAGGCGACGAUACAUAGCCGACCUGAGAGGGUGAUCGGCCACACUGGGACUGAGACACGGCCCAGACUCCUACGGGAGGCAGCAGUAGGGAAUCUUCGGCAAUGGGGGGAACCCUGACCGAGCAACGCCGCGUGAGUGAAGAAGGUUUUCGGAUCGUAAAGCUCUGUUGUUAAGGAAGAACGAGUGUGAAAAUGGAAAGUUCAUACUGUGACGGUACUUAACCAGAAAGGGACGGCUAACUACGUGCCAGCAGCCGCGGUAAUACGUAGGUCCCGAGCGUUGUCCGGAUUUAUUGGGCGUAAAGCGAGCGCAGGCGGUUAGAAAAGUCUGAAGUGAAAGGCAGUGGCUCAACCAUUGUAGGCUUUGGAAACUGUUUAACUUGAGUGCAGAAGGGGAGAGUGGAAUUCCAUGUGUAGCGGUGAAAUGCGUAGAUAUAUGGAGGAACACCGGUGGCGAAAGCGGCUCUCUGGUCUGUAACUGACGCUGAGGCUCGAAAGCGUGGGGAGCGAACAGG
RNAcentral lists this ribosomal RNA (773 nucleotides) under Streptococcus anginosus. RNAcentral's name for it is "bacterial SSU rRNA". It matches the Rfam family "Bacterial small subunit ribosomal RNA", at positions 28 to 776 of the family's 1533-position model. Lineage: Bacteria; Bacillati; Bacillota; Bacilli; Lactobacillales; Streptococcaceae. The record is from RNAcentral.